AAACCGCUUAGGGGUUAAACCCGAUGAACCCGAAUAUCUGAAAUGGAAAAUUCAGUAAUGUUUUUCGAUGUACCAUCGUGUACGCCGAACGUUAUGCACUUUUUCCAUAGUAAGACAUUGCAAUUUAUUAGCAUAUAUCAAUUGAUCUUUCGUAUCAAUUGGUUACAUUUAUUAUAAGGCCCUAUACGGUAAGUUUAUGCUAAUGUACGCAAGUGCAUGGCGUAAGACCGUACUGGUGUUCCCUAAUAAAUGGCUGAUAAAUUCAUAAUCGUAAAUAGCACAGGCAUGCCGUUAAACGCAUGUAAGUCACGGUACAUGUCCACUUCGGUGGCUUGUGCGCACGUGUUUGUGUUCUAUUUGAUUUGCAAUGCGAUAGAUUUGGGAUACCUUCGGGACCCGUCUUGAAACACGGACCAAGAAGUCUAACAUGUGUGCGAGUCAUUGGGUAUAUGUGUGAAACCUAAAGGCGAAAUUAAAAUGACUAUCAUUUGUGAAAUGGGAUUACAAGCGUCCAAAAUUCAUUUUGGCGUUUCUCCAUCCCGGGGCGUUCAUAUAUAAACAUGGUGCAAGCAAUUGUGCUCUCUGUUUGUGAGCGUACCUUGAGCAUACAUGCUGU
RNAcentral lists this ribosomal RNA (616 nucleotides) under Asioditomyia sp. DK-2014. RNAcentral's name for it is "eukaryotic LSU rRNA". It matches the Rfam family "Eukaryotic large subunit ribosomal RNA", at positions 402 to 812 of the family's 3401-position model. The record is from RNAcentral. Lineage: Eukaryota; Metazoa; Arthropoda; Insecta; Diptera; Ditomyiidae.